CCUUAUUAGGAACGAUAAUCAUCAUCAUCUGUAAUGAACUUUAAGAUGGAGCUUCCUUCAAACAAAGAUUAUAAUUAUUUCCGUUUCAUGGAGCUUUCCAAUUUGCUAAGAGGCGACUCUCGUAGCUUGCGAUAAGUGGGUGAGGGUGAUUUAUUUUAAUCUUUCUAUUUUUAAUACAAAUCUCUCAUCAACUCACUAAUAUAUGUCCAUUUCAACCAAAUUUGACAUUUUUGUUUUAAUAUGUGAUAUGGAUAUUGCCUGAGAUUAAUUGUCGGUGUCUGAUCAAUGCUCUCUGCAUCCAUAAAUAUGUACUUAAAUCCAAAGGUUCAAUCAAUGAAGUUAAUCAAAUUGCACAGCUGAGGAUCAUAAUCAAACCCAAGCCUUGUGUUGGUGUAGGGACUUUAUGUAAUGCACAAUAGAUUUGCUACCAUGUGCUUGGGCUGGUACAUAGGAUCCGGACCCUCAUACCUCGAGCUAUGUGUAUCUUGACCUUUUGCCCUUCAUUCUAAUUGGUUUUCAGCUCCUUGUCUAAUUCAUUUACACCAUUUUUCACAGAUGAAAGACUACAUUGCAACCCCAAAACCCAAUGGUUAUCAGAGCCUUCAUACUAAUGUAAUUUCAUUUCUUUAUGAAAGCAUGUUUCGUCUAGAAGUUCAGGUACCAAAAUUAUUUUCACUGGGCUUUGGUUUGGUUAUCAAAGCCUUCAUACUACAGUGGAAAAGUUAUUGUUAAUGGCUUGGUCAGACAUAGAGUGGCUAACGACAGAUACUUGAGAGGGAAACAUCUGUAAUGGUUAAGUAUUCUGGUAGCUAAAUUCUUCAUCAUGACCUCUGCCCAGUGAUGACAAGUAUGAGACAAAAAGCGUCUCCCCAGAUGAAGCAAGGGUGUUACGGAGAGGGGGGGAGAAUGAAUUCAGAUGUAAGCGUCUCCCCAAAUGUGGUGGUUGUAUUUGUUCUUGUCAUCCUUCUCAUAAGAUUUUUUACCGGACACAAAAAGGACGAUAAGGAUCAAGUGGAGUUUAUUGCUAAGAAAACUAGUCUUGGGGAUACUGUUGAUGGAGCAAUCAAAAUUUUCACUGUUGCAGUCACGAUUGUUGUUACAGGUUCGGAGGCUAUCUGCUUGUGAAACAAUGGGUUCUGCUACUACAAUUUGCAGUGAUAAAAUUGGAACCUUGACAUUGAACAACUAGAUAACUCUAUGGGCUCAAUGAGGCUGUUUCUUUUUUGCCCCCUUUUCUUUAUUUUACCCCUUUGCUCUUUCAGUUUGAAGCCAUUAUAAGAACUAGAUAACUAUAUGGGGUUGUUUCUUUUUUACUUAAUGGGCUCAAUGAGUUAAGUUCUUACUCUAGACAACUAUAAAUGGUUGUUUCUUUUUGAAUUAAUUUGGACAAAAUGACAGAUCACAGAUUGAGAAUAGGGAACAACCACUAUUUGUUUGCGAUUAAUCUAUACAAAAACAAAGCUUAAAUCGAAAGGAU
This is a non-coding RNA of Lactuca sativa (garden lettuce), 1477 nucleotides long. NCBI's taxonomy places the organism in Eukaryota, Viridiplantae, Streptophyta, Magnoliopsida, Asterales, Asteraceae. The record is from RefSeq and is a predicted model, not a curated record.